Molecule: ribosomal RNA, 650 nt
Filed under: uncultured bacterium
Lineage: Bacteria
Description: bacterial SSU rRNA
Rfam family: Bacterial small subunit ribosomal RNA
Source: RNAcentral
CCCAGUCGGGGGGGAUAACGUAGCGAAAGUUACGCUAAUACCGCAUACGUCCUGAGGGAGAAAGCGGGGGACCGUAAGGCCUCGCGCGAUUGGAGCGGCCGAUGUCGGAUUAGCUAGUUGGUGGGGUAAAGGCCUACCAAGGCAACGAUCCGUAGCGGGUCUGAGAGGAUGAUCCGCCACACUGGGACUGAGACACGGCCCAAACCUCUACGGGAGGCAGCAGUGGGGAAUUUUGGACAAUGGGCGAAAGCCUGAUCCAGCCAUGCCGCGUGAGUGAAGAAGGCCUUCGGGUUGUAAAGCUCUUUCAGACGGAAAGAAAUCUUCUGGGCUAAUACCCCGGGAGGAUGACGGUACCGUAAGAAGAAGCACCGGCUAACUACGUGCCAGCAGCCGCGGUAAUACGUAGGGUGCGAGCGUUAAUCGGAAUUACUGGGCGUAAAGCGUGCGCAGGCGGUGAUGUAAGACAGAUGUGAAAUCCCCGGGCUCAACCUGGGAACUGCGUUUGUGACUGCAUCACUCGAGUACGGCAGAGGGAGGUGGAAUUCCGCGUGUAGCAGUGAAAUGCGUAGAGAUGCGGAGGAACACCGAUGGCGAAGGCAGCCUCCUGGGCCAGUACUGACGCUUAUGCACGAAAGCGUGGGGAGCAAACA